This 434-nucleotide ribosomal RNA is filed under the name uncultured bacterium. RNAcentral's name for it is "partial 16S ribosomal RNA". It matches the Rfam family "Bacterial small subunit ribosomal RNA", at positions 29 to 507 of the family's 1533-position model. The record is from RNAcentral.
AGCGAACGCUGGCGGCAGGCCUAACACAUGCAAGUCGAACGAACCUUUCGGGGUUAGUGGCGGACGGGUGAGUAACACGUGGGAACGUGCCUUUAGGUUCGGAAUAACUCAGGGAAACUUGUGCUAAUACCGAAUGUGCCCUUCGGGGGAAAGAUUAAUCGCCUUUAGAGGGGCCCGCGUCUGAUUAGCUAGGUGGUUGAGGUAAUGGCGCACCAAGGCGACGAUCAGUAGCUGGUCUGGGAGGAUGAUCAGACACAUUGGUACUGAGACACGGCCCAAAAUCCUACGGGAGGGAGGAGUGGGGAAUCUUGCGAAAUGGGCGAAAGCAUGACGCAGCCAUGCCGCGUGAGUGCUGAAGGUCUUAGGAUUGUAAAAUUCUUUCACCGGGGACGAUACUGACGGUACCCGGAGAAGAAGCCCCGGCUAACUUCGUG